GGUGGCUCAGUGGUAGAACGCUUGCUUUGCAUGCAUGAGGCCCUGGGUUCAAUUCCUCAGCACCA
Molecule: transfer RNA, 65 nt
Filed under: Dipodomys ordii (Ord's kangaroo rat)
Lineage: Eukaryota; Metazoa; Chordata; Mammalia; Rodentia; Heteromyidae
Rfam family: tRNA
About the family: Transfer RNA (tRNA) molecules are approximately 80 nucleotides in length. Their secondary structure includes four short double-helical elements and three loops (D, anti-codon, and T loops). Further hydrogen bonds mediate the characteristic L-shaped molecular structure. tRNAs have two regions of fundamental functional importance: the anti-codon, which is responsible for specific mRNA codon recognition, and the 3' end, to which the tRNAs corresponding amino acid is attached (by aminoacyl-tRNA synthetases). tRNAs cope with the degeneracy of the genetic code in two manners: having more than one tRNA (with a specific anti-codon) for a particular amino acid; and 'wobble' base-pairing, i.e. permitting non-standard base-pairing at the 3rd anti-codon position.
Source: Rfam by way of RNAcentral